GACGAACGCUGGCGGCGUGCCUAAUACAUGCAAGUCGAACGCACAGUUUAUACCGUAGCUUGCUACACCAUAGACUGUGAGUUGCGAACGGGUGAGUAACGCGUAGGUAACCUGCCUGGUAGCGGGGGAUAACUAUUGGAAACGAUAGCUAAUACCGCAUAAUAUUGAUUAUUGCAUGAUAAUUGAUUGAAAGAUGCUAUUGCAUCACUACCAGAUGGACCUGCGUUGUAUUAGCUAGUAGGUGAGGUAACGGCUCACCUAGGCGACGAUACAUAGCCGACCUGAGAGGGUGAUCGGCCACACUGGGACUGAGACACGGCCCAGACUCCUACGGGAGGCAGCAGUAGGGAAUCUUCGGCAAUGGACGAAGGUCUGACCGAGCAACGCCGCGUGAGUGAAGAAGGUUUUCGGAUCGUAAAGCUCUGUUGUAAGAGAAGAACGGGUGUGAGAGUGGAAAGUUCACACUGUGACGGUAUCUUACCAGAAAGGGACGGCUAACUACGUG
This 505-nucleotide ribosomal RNA is filed under the name uncultured bacterium. RNAcentral's name for it is "partial 16S ribosomal RNA". It matches the Rfam family "Bacterial small subunit ribosomal RNA", at positions 28 to 507 of the family's 1533-position model. The record is from RNAcentral.